AGAAGCACCAUUAUUAUCAACCCUAGGGCGUUUAAUAUCACCACCACCACCAGCUGCUCCACUCAAGAGGCGAGCGGCAAUCUCCUGAGCUUUUUGCUUAGCCAUCUGGAUCUCAUCAACAGGUGGUGGGACGCUGUUGUAAGUAGGCGGAGCAUGAGCAUGAGCUGAGUCAGGCGAUGAAAAGCCGGUAGCGCGGCGAGUUGAUGGUGGCGGCGGUGUUUGGUCGUCGUAUUUGCGCUUGUUUGUAGUGGUGGCGGUGGCAUCCGCGGCCGAAGAGUACUGAGAUUCGUCCGCCA
This 296-nucleotide long non-coding RNA is filed under the name Ricinus communis (castor bean). RNAcentral describes it as "long non-coding RNA (RCOM_LNC000757)". Lineage: Eukaryota; Viridiplantae; Streptophyta; Magnoliopsida; Malpighiales; Euphorbiaceae. The record is from RNAcentral.